CUUCCCAUUCCGAACAGAGAAGUUAAGCUUCGUCACGCCGAUGGUACUGCGCAAGUGGGAGAGUAGGUAGUCGCCGUCU
RNAcentral lists this ribosomal RNA (79 nucleotides) under Phocaeicola coprocola. The record is from RNAcentral. RNAcentral also lists the same sequence under 1 other name. Lineage: Bacteria; Pseudomonadati; Bacteroidota; Bacteroidia; Bacteroidales; Bacteroidaceae.